GACGAACGCUGGCGGCGUGCUUAACACAUGCAAGUCGAACGGAAAGGCCCUGCUUUUGUGGGGCGCUCGAGUGGCGAACGGGUGAGUAACACGCGAGUAACAUGCCCUUGACUUUGGGAUAACUUCAGGAAACUGGGGCUAAUACCGGAUAGGAGCUACUGCUGCAUGGUGGGGGAUGGAAAGUUUCGGCGGUUGGGGCUGGAUUCGCGGCAUAUCAGCUUGUUGGUGGGGUAGUGGUAUACCAAGGCUUUGACGGGUAGCCCGCCUUGGAGGGUGACCGGCCUCAUGGGUACUGAGAUACGGACCAGUCUCCAACGUGACGCAGCAGUGGGGAACAUUGCAGAGUAAGCCGACGCCUGAUGCAGAAGCGUCGCGUGCGGGAAGACGUCCUUCUGGUUGUAAACCACUUUCGACGGUAACGAAGCCUGAGUGACGGUAAUGGGUAAGGAAGCAACGGCUAACUACGUG
This 468-nucleotide ribosomal RNA is filed under the name uncultured bacterium. RNAcentral describes it as "partial 16S ribosomal RNA". It matches the Rfam family "Bacterial small subunit ribosomal RNA", at positions 28 to 507 of the family's 1533-position model. The record is from RNAcentral.